GACGAACGCUGGCGGCGUGGAUUAGGCAUGCAAGUCGAACGGUAGGAUACCUUCGGGUAUCUGAGAGUGGCGAACGGGUGAGUAACACGUAGGUGAUCUACCCUCAAGAUUGGGACAACCCAGGGAAACUUGGGCUAAUACCGGAUGAAAGCAGCAGUGAUGUUGUUUGAAAGGUGGCGUAAGCUGCCGUUUGGGGAUGAGCCUGCGCUCUAUUAGUUAGUUGGCGGGGUAAAGGCCCACCAAGGCGAUGAUAGAUAGGCGGCCUUAACGGGUGGUCGCCCACACUGGGAUUGAGAUACGGCCCAGACUCCUACGGGAGGCAGCAGUCGAGAAUAGUCUACAAUGGCCGAAAGGCUGAUAGUGCGACGCCGCGUGAACGAAGAAGCCCUUCGGGGUGUAAAGUUCUUUUAUAUGUGAGCAGUGCUUUCUAUGUGAACAGCAUGGGGAGAGAGAUAUUAGCAUAUGAAUAAGCAAACGGGCUAAACCCCGUCGUCCGACGCGACGACC
RNAcentral lists this ribosomal RNA (507 nucleotides) under uncultured bacterium. Its description in RNAcentral is "bacterial SSU rRNA". It matches the Rfam family "Bacterial small subunit ribosomal RNA", at positions 28 to 525 of the family's 1533-position model. The record is from RNAcentral.